GUGGUGGAACUGAAGUCCCAGUUGAAGUUGCGCAGCUUGCCCGUGUCCGGCACCAAAAACGGCCUCAUCGAGAGGCUGAGGACCUACCAGGAACUGAAUGGAGGCGGUGACACUACCUCCUCUCCAACAGCAGGGGGUAUCGCAGGGCCGGGGGCUGCAGGAACAGGAAGAUCCUCCCAAGCUGCUGCAGCCGCCACCACCACCGACAACACAUCACAACAGCAACAGUUUCGGUGCCGCCAGACAUCCUCUCUGACAAGUCAGCUAGGUAGCACUGCCACUCCACCUUCAGCCUCUCCUCAGCAGCUUGUGACCUGCAGUGGCUUAGUCUCAUCACCGGCCGUCUUCUCCCCCCCUCUCUGACCGCCCGCCGGCCACCAGCAGCCCAGAGGAUUCCAGCUUCUGCAGCGAUCCUUCGGGGGAAAUGAUGAGGUCACCUGUCACACAGUCGAACCUUCAGCUGUGUCCAGGUGCUCGGCUUCAAACUGAUAUCAAAGAAGAGGUCUCAUGCUCCACCCCAGCUCCCUGCCAGUUCUCUUCAAAGCCGCCAGCCUCUCUGCAGAAACACUGCCUGGUCUCAUCAGCUGCCCCCAACACUAAAACCGCCGCUCCAUCACAGACUAUUGACAAAGACAAGAUGCUGCGGGAGAAAGACAAGCAGAUAGAGGAGUUGACCAUGAUGCUGAGGCAGAAGCAGAGGCUGGUGGAUGUGCUGAGGAUGCAGCUGGAGCACGGCAAGAGAGUUUCGGAGCCAGUGGUUCUUGUAAGAGUGAAGCAAGAACCUCCUGAUAAGCCCGGUGUACCUCUCUCGUGCGGCCAGCCCCCAUUUCUCCUUCAAACAUCGUGCGUCAUGGAUGCCACUAAGUUUGCCGUCAAACAGGAGGUCAUCCAGACAGAGGACGUUGUGCCUGAGACAACUAUGCAGUCAGUGAACUCUCGUGGAUUACCGCGGCCCUGCAACCAAACUCAGGAGGCACAGGAGCAGAUCCAGCUGCACACGAAGCCACAGAAAGAACAACACGACGGUCUCCAGCAGAGCCCUCUGCAGCUGGCCCAGCAGCAGGCCAUACAGAAACUCUUGCUGCAGCAGCAGCAAAACAUCCAGAGGUGUAACCAGGUGCUGGAAAAUCAACAGAACCUGCAGAGACUGUCUCAGCAGAGAAAGAAGAAAUCUCACAAACAGCAGCUCAAACUGCAGCAGCAGGAGCAACUGUUGCAGUCGCAGCAGAUGCAGCUGAAGCAACAGAUUCUAAUGAAACAACAACAAAAAAUGCUGUUUCAGCAGCAAAUGAAGCGGCAGCAACCGACUAAACAACCACAGCAAAUCCAGAUACAGACCGAGAUACAUUUGACGCAGCACCCGGUGCAAACGCAACAGAAACAACAGGUGCCGCAGCAGCAGUCGCCACAGGUGUCUCAAGAGUACAUCAAAGAGCAGUCAGGCUCGGCCCCCUCGUUCCCGCCCUGGUCAGACUCCACCCCGGCCCUGGUCACUGACGGCAACGGCAACCACUUCCUGAUUGCACUGAGCAAUCACCUCACUGAGAACCAAAGAGCUGACACACCCGAGGCAACCAAUCCAAUCACUCUCCAGGCCCAGAAUAGGCGACCUCAGGGAUCUGUAGACGAACCACAGCAGGGAGCUGCUCAGUGUGUAACUGCACCGCCCAGUCUGCAGCCUUUCCUAAAGGACCAGGAGGCCGCUCCCUCAUGGAAACACACCUCAUCACCCUGCUCCCAAACUGAGGUCUGCUCUAGCCUGGACGUCUUGUUCAGUCCUCUGUCUCCGGCUUCCAAUCAGACAGCUGCCUCUUCACCCGAUAACAAAGUACGAUGGGAGCACUGCAUGCUCUCAAUGCGUCACUGCACACACAAGCUAUUUUCCUCAAUACCUUUUUUACUCACAAGGCUGCAAAGUGAAUCAAGUGUUUGUGAUCCAAAAUGUGAGAUUUUAACUGCCUCACACCACGUCACAUCAAAUGCUCAUGUCACGUAG
This 1996-nucleotide long non-coding RNA is filed under the name Scophthalmus maximus (turbot). RNAcentral's name for it is "lncRNA (ENSSMAG00000034403.1)". Lineage: Eukaryota; Metazoa; Chordata; Actinopteri; Pleuronectiformes; Scophthalmidae. The record is from RNAcentral.